This 384-nucleotide ribosomal RNA is filed under the name uncultured bacterium. Its description in RNAcentral is "bacterial SSU rRNA". It matches the Rfam family "Bacterial small subunit ribosomal RNA", at positions 524 to 906 of the family's 1533-position model. The record is from RNAcentral.
UACAGAGACUGCGAGCGUUAUUCGGAUUCACUGGGCGUAAAGGGUGCGCAGGCGGCCAAGUGUGUGAGGCGUGAAAGCCCGGGGCUUAACCCCGGAAUUGCACCUCAAACUACAUGGCUAGAGCAUUGGAGAGGGAAGCGGAAUUCACGGUGUAGCAGUGAAAUGCGUAGAUAUCGUGAGGAACACCAGAGGCGAAGGCGGCUUCCUGGACAAUUGCUGACGCUCAGGCACGAAAGCGUGGGGAGCAAAAGGGAUUAGAUACCCCUGUAGUCCACGCCCUAAACGGUGCACACUAGGUCUUGGCGGAUUCGACCCCACCAGGGCCCAAGCUAACGCGUUAAGUGUGCCGCCUGAGGACUACGGCCGCAAGGCUAAAACUCAAAG